RNAcentral lists this ribosomal RNA (253 nucleotides) under uncultured prokaryote. Its description in RNAcentral is "partial 16S ribosomal RNA". It matches the Rfam family "Bacterial small subunit ribosomal RNA", at positions 525 to 777 of the family's 1533-position model. The record is from RNAcentral.
ACAGAGGGGGCAAGCGUUAUUCGGAAUUAUUGGGCGUAAAGGGCGCGUAGGCGGCUAAACAAGUGACGGGUGAAAGCCCUCGGCUUAACCGAGGAACUGCCUGUCAGACUGUUUGGCUUGAGACCGGGAGAGGUGAGUGGAAUUCCCAGUGUAGCGGUGAAAUGCGUAGAUAUUGGGAGGAACACCAGUGGCGAAGGCGGCUCACUGGACCGGAACUGACGCUGAUGCGCGAAAGCGUGGGGAGCAAACAGGA